AUUGAACGCUGGCGGCAGGCCUAACACAUGCAAGUCGAGCGGAUGAAGGGAGCUUGCUCCUGGAUUCAGCGGCGGACGGGUGAGUAAUGCCUAGGAAUCUGCCUGAUAGUGGGGGAUAACGUCCGGAAACGGGCGCUAAUACCGCAUACGUCCUGAGGGAGAAAGUGGGGGAUCUUCGGACCUCACGCUAUCAGAUGAGCCUAGGUCGGAUUAGCUAGUUGGUGGGGUAAAGGCCUACCAAGGCGACGAUCCGUAACUGGUCUGAGAGGUUGAUCAGUCACACUGGAACUGAGACACGGUCCAGACUCCUACGGGAGGCAGCAGUGGGGAAUAUUGGACAAUGGGCGAAAGCCUGAUCCAGCCAUGCCGCGUGUGUGAAGAAGGUCUUCGGAUUGUAAAGCACUUUAAGUUGGGAGGAAGGGCAGUAAGUUAAUACCUUGCUGUUUUGACGUUACCAACAGAAUAAGCACCGGCUAACUUCGUG
RNAcentral lists this ribosomal RNA (484 nucleotides) under uncultured bacterium. RNAcentral describes it as "partial 16S ribosomal RNA". It matches the Rfam family "Bacterial small subunit ribosomal RNA", at positions 30 to 507 of the family's 1533-position model. The record is from RNAcentral.